AUGCUUGUAAACGGGUGGUGGUGGGGAUUUGUACAUUGGUGGAGGUGGUGGUGGAGACUUGUACUUGUAAACGGGUGGUGGUGGGGACUUGUACUUGUAAAUAGGUGGCGGUGGGGAUUUAUGGACUGGUGGAGGUGGUGGUGGGGACUUGUACUUGUAAACGGGUGGUGGUGGGGAUUUAUAAACUGGUGGAGGUGGUGGUGGAGACUUGUACUUAUAAACGGGUGGUGGUGGGGACUUAUACUUGUAAACGGGUGGCGGUGGGGAUUUAUAAACUGGUGGAGGUGGUGGUGGAGACUUGUACUUGUAAACGGGUGGUGGUGGGGACUUGUACUUGUAAACAGGUGGCGGUGGGGAUUUAUAGACUGGUGGAGGUGGUGGUGGAGACUUGUACUUAUAAACAGGUGGUGGUGGAGACUUAUACUUGUAAACGGGUGGUGGUGGAGAUCUAUAAAUUGGUAGAGGUGGUGGCGGGGAUUUGUACUUAUAAACUGGAGGUGGUGGUGAUGAGUACACGUACUUCUUGGUUGGUGGAGGAGGAGAAC
RNAcentral lists this long non-coding RNA (545 nucleotides) under Nicotiana tabacum (common tobacco). Its description in RNAcentral is "long non-coding RNA (NTAB_LNC005274)". The record is from RNAcentral. Lineage: Eukaryota; Viridiplantae; Streptophyta; Magnoliopsida; Solanales; Solanaceae.